Molecule: long non-coding RNA, 223 nt
Filed under: Elaeis guineensis (African oil palm)
Lineage: Eukaryota; Viridiplantae; Streptophyta; Magnoliopsida; Arecales; Arecaceae
Description: long non-coding RNA (EGUI_LNC040575)
Source: RNAcentral
CAUUAGUUAGAAUCAUCGAGUAGGUUCGUGUUAAUGAUUGGACCUAACUAAAACUUUCAGUGGAGGCCCAUCACCUAUUGAAAUAAAAUCUAGGGUGAAAUUAAUUAUUAAAAAUUAUUUGGAGAAAUAAUUGGUUGAAAACCUACCCAUAGAUGUAUAUGGGUUGGUCGAGCUAUACUCGGGUCUGUAUGCAGUCUGUGCGGAUUCUAGUACCCACUAAGGA